AACGAACGCUGGCGGCAUGCCUAACACAUGCAAGUCGAACGAGACCUUCGGGUCUAGUGGCGCACGGGUGCGUAACGCGUGGGAACCUGCCCUUAGGUUCGGAAUAACUCCCCGAAAGGGGUGCUAAUACCGGAUAAUGUCUUCGGACCAAAGAUUUAUCGCCUUUGGAUGGGCCCGCGUUGGAUUAGCUAGUUGGUAGGGUAAAAGCCUACCAAGGCGACGAUCCAUAGCUGGUCUGAGAGGAUGAUCAGCCACACUGGGACUGAGACACGGCCCAGACUCCUACGGGGGGCAGCAGUGGGGAAAUUGGGACAAGGGGCGAAAGCCUGAUCCAGCAAUGCCGGGUGGGUGAUGAAGGCCUUAGGGUUGUAAAGCUCUUUUACCCGGGAUGAUAAUGACAGUACCGGGAGAAUAAGCCCCGGCUAACUCCGU
This 432-nucleotide ribosomal RNA is filed under the name uncultured bacterium. RNAcentral's name for it is "partial 16S ribosomal RNA". It matches the Rfam family "Bacterial small subunit ribosomal RNA", at positions 29 to 506 of the family's 1533-position model. The record is from RNAcentral.